CCUACGGGAGGCAGCAGUGGGGAAUAUUGCACAAUGGGGGAAACCCUGAUGCAGCGACGCCGCGUGAGUGAAGAAGUAUUUCGGUAUGUAAAGCUCUAUCAGCAGGGAAGAAAAUGACGGUAUCUGAGUAAGAAGCCCCGGCUAACUACGGGCCAGCAGCCGCGGUAAUACGCAGGGGGCAAGCGUUAUCCGGAUGUACUGGGUGUAAAGGGAGCGUAGACGGCAGUGCAAGUCUGGCGUGAAAGGCGGGGGCUCAACCCCCGGACUGCUCUGGAAACUGGACGGCUGGAGUGCAGGAGAGGUAAGUGGAAUUCCUAGUGUAGCGGUGAAAUGCGUAGAUAUUAGGAGGAACACCAGUGGCGAAGGCGGCUUACUGGACUGUAACUGACGUUGAGGCUCGAAAGCGUGGGGAGCAAACAGGAUUAGAUACCCUGGUAGUC
This 440-nucleotide ribosomal RNA is filed under the name uncultured bacterium. RNAcentral describes it as "partial 16S ribosomal RNA". It matches the Rfam family "Bacterial small subunit ribosomal RNA", at positions 338 to 795 of the family's 1533-position model. The record is from RNAcentral.